Molecule: ribosomal RNA, 490 nt
Filed under: uncultured bacterium
Lineage: Bacteria
Description: partial 16S ribosomal RNA
Rfam family: Bacterial small subunit ribosomal RNA
Source: RNAcentral
AGUGAACGCUGGCGGUAGGCCUAACACAUGCAAGUCGAACGGCAGCACAGUAAGAGCUUGCUCUUACGGGUGGCGAGUGGCGGACGGGUGAGGAAUACAUCGGAAUCUACUUUUUCGUGGGGGAUAACGUAGGGAAACUUACGCUAAUACCGCAUACGACCUACGGGUGAAAGCAGGGGAUCUUCGGACCUUGCGCGAUUGAAUGAGCCGAUGUCGGAUUAGCUAGUUGGCGGGGUAAAGGCCCACCAAGGCGACGAUCCGUAGCUGGUCUGAGAGGAUGAUCCGGCACACGGGAACUGAGACACGGGCCAGACCCCUGCGGGGGGCAAGAGGGGGGAAUUUUGGACAAUGGGGGAAAGCCUGGUCCCACCAUACCGGGUGGGGGAAGAAGGCCUUCGGGGUGUAAAGCCCUUUUUGUGGGAAAAAAAAGGAGCAGGUUAAUACCCCGGUGUUCCGGCGGUACCCAAAGAAAAAGCCCCGGCUAACCUCG